This 492-nucleotide ribosomal RNA is filed under the name uncultured bacterium. Its description in RNAcentral is "partial 16S ribosomal RNA". It matches the Rfam family "Bacterial small subunit ribosomal RNA", at positions 30 to 507 of the family's 1533-position model. The record is from RNAcentral.
AUUGAACGCUGGCGGCAUGCUUUACACAUGCAAGUCGAACGGUAACAUGCCUUUUGUUGCUGUCGUGUGGCGAACGGUGGAGUAAUGCAUCUGAACGUACCCAGAGGUGGGGUUUAACGCAUCUAAAGCUGUGCUAAUACCGCAUGUGAUCUGAUUAUGAAAGCGGGGGACCGAGCAGCAAUGUUUGGCCUCUCGCCUGUGGAGCGGCCGAUGUCGGAUUAGCUAGUUGGUGGGGUAAACGCCUACCAAGGCGACGAUCCGUAGCUGGUCUGAGUGGACGACCAGCCAGACUGGGACUGAGACACGGCAGAGACUCGUACGGGAGGCGGCAAUGGGGAAUUUUGGGCAAUGGGCGCCAGCCUGAUCCAGCAAUGCGGCGUGCGGGAAGAAGGCCUUCGGGUUGUAAGCCGCUUUUGGCAGGAACGAAACGGUGUCCGCUAAUACCGGGCGCUAAUGAAGGUACCUGCAGAAUGAGCACCGGCUAACUACGUG